RNAcentral lists this transfer RNA (74 nucleotides) under Chloracidobacterium sp. Its description in RNAcentral is "tRNA-Gln". It matches the Rfam family "tRNA". From Rfam's summary of the family: Transfer RNA (tRNA) molecules are approximately 80 nucleotides in length. Their secondary structure includes four short double-helical elements and three loops (D, anti-codon, and T loops). Lineage: Bacteria; Pseudomonadati; Acidobacteriota; Blastocatellia; Chloracidobacteriales; Chloracidobacteriaceae. The record is from RNAcentral.
CAGGAUGUAGCUCAGUCUGCUUAGAGCGAGCGCCUCUGACGCGCGAGGCGCAGGUUCGGAUCCUGCCAUCCUGA